MicroRNA precursor from Monodelphis domestica (gray short-tailed opossum), 61 nucleotides. Ensembl annotates it as mdo-mir-20b. Its record names the gene mdo-mir-20b. The record is from Ensembl. NCBI's taxonomy places the organism in Eukaryota, Metazoa, Chordata, Mammalia, Didelphimorphia, Didelphidae.
CAAAGUGCUCAUAGUGCAGGUAGUUUUUUGCAAAUGACUACUGUACUAUGGGCACUUCAGC